GGGCCCGCACAAGCAGCGGAGCGUGUGGUUUAAUUCGAGGCUACACGAAGAACCUUACCUGGGUUUGACAUAUACGUGGUAGUGAACCGAAAGGGGAACGACCUUCGGGAGCGUAUACAGGUGCUGCAUGGCUGUCGUCAGCUCGUGCCGUGAGGUGUUCGGUUAAGUCCGCAAACGAGCGCAACCCCCGGUGCUAGUUACACGUGUCUAGCGCGACUGCCCGUGAGAAACGGGAGGAAGGUGGGGAUGACGUCAAGUCAGCAUGGCCUUUAUAUCCAGGGCUACACACACGCUACAAUGGGCGGUACAAUGGGUCGCGAAGCCGCGAGGCGGAGCCAAUCCUGAAAGCCGUUCGUAGUUCGGAUUGCAGGCUGCAACUCGCCUGCAUGAAGUCGGAGUUGCUAGUAACCGCAGGUCAGCUAUACUGCGGUGAAUACGUUCCCGGGCCUU
RNAcentral lists this ribosomal RNA (450 nucleotides) under uncultured bacterium. Its description in RNAcentral is "bacterial SSU rRNA". It matches the Rfam family "Bacterial small subunit ribosomal RNA", at positions 917 to 1382 of the family's 1533-position model. The record is from RNAcentral.